UAGGGAAUCUUCUUUUNAAUGGACGGAAGUCUGACCGAGCAACGCCGCGUGAGUGAAGAAGGUUUUCGGAUCGUAAAGCUCUGUUGUUAGAGAAGAACGUUGGUAGGAGUGGAAAAUCUACCAAGUGACGGUAACUAACCAGAAAGGGACGGCUAACUACGUGCCAGCAGCCGCGGUAAUACGUAGGUCCCGAGCGUUGUCCGGAUUUAUUGGGCGUAAAGCGAGCGCAGGCGGUUCUUUAAGUCUGAAGUUAAAGGCAGUGGCUUAACCAUUGUACGCUUUGGAAACUGGAGGACUUGAGUGCAGAAGGGGAGAGUGGAAUUCCAUGUGUAGCGGUGAAAUGCGUAGAUAUAUGGAGGAACACCGGUGGCGAAAGCGGCUCUCUGGUCUGUAACUGACGCUGAGGCUCGAAAGCGUGGGGAGCAAACAGGAUUAGAUACCCUGGUAGUCCACGCCGUAAACGAUGAGUGCUAGGUGUUAGGCCCUUUCCGGGGCUUAGUGCCGCAGCUAACGCAUUAAAGCACUCCGCCUGGGGGAGUACGACCGCAAGGUUGA
RNAcentral lists this ribosomal RNA (555 nucleotides) under uncultured bacterium. Its description in RNAcentral is "bacterial SSU rRNA". It matches the Rfam family "Bacterial small subunit ribosomal RNA", at positions 355 to 897 of the family's 1533-position model. The record is from RNAcentral.